GAUGAACGCUGGCGGCGUGCCUAAUACAUGCAAGUCGAGCGAACAGACGAGGAGCUUGCUCCUCUGACGUUAGCGGCGGACGGGUGAGUAACACGUGGAUAACCUACCUAUAAGACUGGGAUAACUUCGGGAAACCGGAGCUAAUACCGGAUAAUAUAUUGAACCGCAUGGUUCAAUAGUGAAAGACGGUUUUGCUGUCACUUAUAGAUGGAUCCGCGCCGCAUUAGCUAGUUGGUAAGGUAACGGCUUACCAAGGCAACGAUGCGUAGCCGACCUGAGAGGGUGAUCGGCCACACUGGAACUGAGACACGGUCCAGACUCCUACGGGAGGCAGCAGUAGGGAUUCUUCCGCAAUGGGCGAAAGCCUGACGGAGCAACGCCGCGUGAAUGAUGAAGGUCUUCGGAUCGUAGAACUCUGUUAUUAGGGAAGAACAAAUGUGUAAGUAACUAUGCACGUCUUGACGGUACCUAAUCAGAAAGCCACGGCUAACUACGUG
This 497-nucleotide ribosomal RNA is filed under the name uncultured bacterium. RNAcentral's name for it is "partial 16S ribosomal RNA". It matches the Rfam family "Bacterial small subunit ribosomal RNA", at positions 28 to 507 of the family's 1533-position model. The record is from RNAcentral.